Molecule: ribosomal RNA, 253 nt
Filed under: uncultured bacterium
Lineage: Bacteria
Description: partial 16S ribosomal RNA
Rfam family: Bacterial small subunit ribosomal RNA
Source: RNAcentral
GACGUAGGAUGCGAGCGUUGUCCGGAUUUAUUGGGCGUAAAGAGUUCGUAGGUGGCUUGUCAAGUUUGAUGUUAAUGAUCGGGGCUCAACCCUGGGACUGCAUUGAAUACUGGCAGGCUUGAGUGUGGUAGAGGCUAGUGGAAUUCCCAGUGUAGCGGUGAAAUGCGUAGAUAUUGGGAAGAACACCGGUGGCGUAGGCGACUAGCAGGGCCAUAACUGACACUGAGGAACGAAAGCCAGGGUAGCGAAUGGG